RNAcentral lists this long non-coding RNA (1287 nucleotides) under Corvus moneduloides (New Caledonian crow). RNAcentral's name for it is "lncRNA (ENSCMUG00000017174.1)". The record is from RNAcentral. Lineage: Eukaryota; Metazoa; Chordata; Aves; Passeriformes; Corvidae.
AUGCCAAACGGCGGCCGCCCUUACUCAUCCCGGCACCCUCCCGGCACCGCUUCCCCCCGGGGGCGGCUGCCGCUGACUCAGGACCUGCCGGGCUUCCCCCGGGGCCGCGGGGACCCUCCCCGGACCCCCCAAAACCACCGUCCCUUCUCCGGCUGCCUCGCCAGGCGGGAAGAGCUCCAGGACGUGUCACCUGCUGCAGCAGUGUCCCCGCGAUGCUCGCGUGAGUCUGGGGGUCCCAGCACCCCAAAGCCGCUGCCUGGGGGCCGCCCCUGCUCCUUGGCGCCGUGCUGGGGGGUCCCGGGAUGCUCGUGGUGGGCACGGGGCUCGGUGGCCGUCGCUCGGUGCAUUUUGUCACCGGUCACCAGCAGGGUGAGGGCACAGCACCCUCUCUGUCACCCGUGGGGGGACACUCUGAGCCCACCCCACCGCGAGUGGGACCGGCUGCCCCCGUGCCUCAGUUUCCCUUUCCCACCCCGCUGCCACUCCACUGCCCACUGCGGAGGGAAGUGGGGGUGUCCUGGGAGGAGGAGGGGGGGUGGCCCCAUUUCCUGUGACCCCCCCCCGGAGCUGUGCUCCGCUGGAGGGAGCUGCCAGCCGCAGCGCUGGGCCGUGGCUUUGGUGACAGAGCUGUCCCACGGGGUGUCCUCCCCACCCUGGGGUGCCCGACCACCUCGGUGCCACCCCCCCACUGUCCCCAAGGCCACCCUGCAGCCCCCCUCAGCUGCGGGGCAGGGGGCAGGGAGGGUUUUGGGGGCUCUUGGUGAGGUCACGAGUCCGGCUGGAGCCGCCAAGUCGCCCGUGUGGCCUGGCUGUGCCAGCUGCGGUGACAAGGGACAAGCCAGUCCUGCCUCAGCCGGGAGAGGGGUGAGCUGCGGGGGCUUCUUGCGGUGGCAGGGGUUGGGGACUGUCACCUCCAGCCUGUCCCGAGGGCGGUGGGAGCAUCCCUGGGGGAAUUGUCCCCAGGGAACUCGGGGGAUGUCACAGCAUCGGCACGGGGCGCUGUCCCCAGAGCCACCCGCGGGUGUGCAGCAUCCUCCCACCCCGGGCUGUGCCCCCCACACGUGGUGGGACACACCUGGCUCCGUGUCCCCCGUGUCCCCGUUGUCCCCCAUGUCCCCACGCCAGUGGGUCACACCUCGCCGUUUUCUAGGUGACAACUUCAUUCGGUUGUUUUUCCCAUCAAAACCCCCUCUUAUUUUGGGCACCUUUAAGGUUUCUUUUUCCAGCUUUCAGUUGGGUUGGGUUUGGGGUUUUUUUUCCCCUUUUCUCGGUGUUUUUAUCAUUUAG